RNAcentral lists this ribosomal RNA (478 nucleotides) under uncultured bacterium. RNAcentral describes it as "partial 16S ribosomal RNA". It matches the Rfam family "Bacterial small subunit ribosomal RNA", at positions 28 to 507 of the family's 1533-position model. The record is from RNAcentral.
GACGAACGCUGGCGGCGUGCUUAACACAUGCAAGUCGAACGGGAUUUAGUAAACAGAAGCCUCGGUGGAAGAUUACUAAUGAGAGUGGCGAACGGGUGAGUAACGCGUGAGCAACCUGCCUAUGACAGUGGGAUAGCCUCGGGAAACCGGGAUUAAUACCGCAUAAAAUCGUAGAAACACAUGUUUUAACGGUCAAAGAUUUAUCGGUCAUAGAUGGGCUCGCGUCUGAUUAGCUAGUUGGUGAGAUAACAGCCCACCAAGGCGACGAUCAGUAGCCGGUCUGAGAGGAUGAACGGCCACAUUGGAACUGAGACACGGUCCAAACUCCUACGGGAGGCAGCAGUGGGGAAUAUUGCACAAUGGGGGAAACCCUGAUGCAGCGACGCCGCGUGAACGAAGAAGGUAUUCGUAUCGUAAAGUUCUGUCCUAUGGGAAGAUAAUGACAGUACCAUAGAAGAAAGCCCCGGCUAAAUACGUG